Molecule: long non-coding RNA, 5231 nt
Filed under: Gallus gallus (chicken)
Lineage: Eukaryota; Metazoa; Chordata; Aves; Galliformes; Phasianidae
Description: lncRNA (ENSGALG00010014692.1)
Source: RNAcentral
AGCUCUGAUUCUUUAAAAACAGAAAGAAAAGCUUGAAAAUACAUGCUGAAACUAACACUGCCCGCCCUUGCAGAGAGGCUUGCAGACAGGUCUUGCAAGCUACGUCUAUUGAGAGGUUGUGUCAGACAAGCAUGGUGCUAGCCUCCUGCUCUGAGAGGUGCCCUGGAAGUUGACCUAGGAAGAGUAAGUCCUUAGAUCCUUACUAAAGAUGUAAACUGCAGUAUUGUGCCGUACCUAUUCAGUAUUAGUUAAUGCAUUAGGUUUUUAGCUUGGUUGGAAUUCUGCAGUCAUCUGAGAGUCUGCAGAACCACUUUAUUACCUUCUGUGUGAGAGUUGUGGAUGAACAGAACUCUUGUCCUGAGCAGUACUCCUUGGGGACCACUUUCCUGUGCGCUUUCACCGUCAUUACACUUCCAAGCAGUUUCUUUGUGUAUUCCAGCAUACUGUAGCAAAUGCUGCUUUGUCAUGGUGCAAGGCUUCCCACUUGGAGCCUGAACAUCGUUAGUGCAUACAGUCAUGGAACAGUUUGCUGGAGAGAGCUCCGUGUUCCAAGCAGUCUAGAGAAGUGAUUCUGCCCUUUUGCUCUUGUGAGACCCCAUUUGGAGGACUGCAUUCAGUUCUAGAGGCCUCAACACAAGAAGGACAUGGAGCUGUUGGAGCGGGUCCGAAGGAGGGCCACAAAGAUGAUCAGAGGACUGGAGCACCUCCCUUAUAAGGCGACAGACUGAGCUGAGGCUCUUCUGCCUGGAGAAGAGGCCUUCCAGUACCUGAAGGAAUCCUACAGGAAAGGUGGGGAAGGACUUUAUAGAAGGGCAUGUAGAAACAGGACAAGGGGAAAUGGCCUUAAACUGGAAGAGGGUAGAUUUAGACUAGAUAUUAGAAAGUUCUUUAGUGUGAGGGUGGUGAGACGCUGGAACAUGUUGCUCAGGGGAGUUGGAACUAGAUGAUCUUAAAGGUCCCUUCUAACCCAAACCAUUCUAUGAUAUCAUCUGAUGUCCUCUUGAGAUGAAAGGCACUUCUUAAAAUCAGUGCACAGAAAUUGAUAUGGAAGAAAGAUUUAGAAUUAAUGCUGGGAUUCAAGUUGUCAUCUCACUUGAUGUCAGGUUGUUCCUGUAUCUCAGACAUCCCAGGUCAAUAGCAUGUAGGUAGGAACUCAAUCUCAGGAAAGUAAUUUCAUUUAGCAUGGGAUAAGUAAAGGGUGGCCUCCUUCAGAGCUUCAUUUUAUUCUGUCAUUGCUUUUCAUUGCUGGCAAGAGCUUAUCUUGCUGUCAACUAAAGCAGGUCCUUUUUAGAGAUGGUAGUGAUCCAACCAUUUUUUUAUUGGUUUUUAUUUGUUUACUUAAUUAGCAAGAGUGUGGUGGUCUGAUGAAUGUUUACCACAAAAACGCUUUGUAAAUCUGUUGAUGGGAAGUUCUGACCAGAGGCUUGUUUCUACAGCACUGUCUAGUGUCAGGAAUGAUGCUGCUGCUGGUGAAGGGUGGUGCUUCUUGCUGCAUAUCCUGAGACCUGAGCCUUUUUUAUUUUUUUUUUUUCUUGUGUCGUGAUCUGAGACAAGACAAAGUAUCAGUUGUAUCCAAUAGAGGCUGGCAAAUUCAGCAGGAUGCUCACAAGAGCAUUACUUCUUCAAAAAAGGCUUGGUCUUCAAAAUGUCAAACAUUCUGGGCUACCAAUAUGGAAAAUACAGGGGGAAGGGCAAAUGGAAUGAUACAUAUUAAGAAGUUUUAAUGCGUACACUUCUUUAAAAUAGCACAACUCAGGAUUUGUAGGGGACCUGUUAGGUCAGGGCUUGAACUGGUGAUUGAGCACCUGGUGAAGGGAUUGUGGCUGACCCAGGGAACACAAGCAAUUGAUUGCACAUUGUGCUCCCCAUGUGACCAGAAGGGGUGGAACCACUCUGGGCUCAUAUAAGGGCCAGCAGUGAAGGUAGAGCAUCUCAGGGAUUUAGGCUGCUUCCUAACAGUGAGUGCUGUAGUGCUGGAGAGCCCUUCAUCAGUUGGCUGAGUUCUGUUCUUUCUGUAUGUGACUAUUGGCCUAACUGGGAAUACUUUGCCUGGUAUUGCCAAGUACCUCUCAGAAGUAGUUUCAUUUCUUCAUGAGCAGAGCAGUACUCAAAUGGGUUACCUGAUGGGAGUAGAUCAUACUGGUUUGUUCUAGCCAUAUUUAAUUUUCUCAUAACUCAAUGUGACAUUCCUCAUGUCUUUUUUUUUUAACUUCAUUUUUGAACUUAAUAGAGCCUUUUCUUGAUCUGUCUUUGUACUCUGUGCAUUUUCAUACAAAAAUGAAUUUUUUUAAUAGUAGUUACUUCAGUAUAUUGUCUGUUGUUGGAAGAUUGAACCUCCUUGCAGUCUUUUCAUGACAGACAAGCUGGACUGGUGGAGGAAACAUACUCCCUGUAUGUGGCCUUGAGGUUCUUUGUGGACAAAACAGUUACCAUUGAGUCACUUUCUCAACACCAGAGUAUUUGCUGAACAAAUCUUGUUUUCUUUUCUCUGUCUGUAGAGCUCUUGCUCUCCAGAAGGUUCUUUGCUGUGCUUCAGUGCUCGUAUGAAGUAUAUCAAAAGCCUGAUUUGCUCCAUGAAGGUUUUCUGGCUCAGAAGGUUGUUCCAUGGGCUACUUCCUCUCUUGACUAUUCAACCUCAUCAUCAGAUACAUUCUCUCGUAACUUCAGAUGCAUACUUGUUUCUAAGCACUGCGAUUAACAGAGCGUACUGAUUAUUAUUUAUGUAGUUAGUAUGACUUCUGAGAUGGGUAGCAAUGUUUCAGUCCUUCCUAGAUACAGUUGAAAUCUCACAUUCUUCCUUAUCCCAAGAUGUUGUUAGUCAUCUGCAGCAAUAUGUGAUUUCAGUCCUUGGAAAAAACAAUGGUGUUGAAAGCUUUUUAGGGGUAUCAGCUCAACUUGAUCUUUCAUUUCUGCUUUUCAAAGUUAUUUGCAGCUACUAUCAGGGGGCUGGAGCACCUCCCCUACGAAGACAGGCUGAGGGAGCUGGUCUUAUUCAGCCUGGAGAAGAGAAGGCUGCAGGGUGACCUCAUUGCAGCCUUUCAGCACCUGAAGGGAGCCUAUAAACAGGAAGGGAGUAAACUCUUUGAAAGGGUAGAUAACAGCAGGACAAGGGGGAACGGUUUUAAGUUGAAAGAGGGAAGAUUUAGGUUGGAUGUUAGGGGGGAGUUCUUUACAAGGAGAGUGGUGAGGUGCUGGAACGGGCUGCCCAGAGAGGUUGUGGAUGCCCCGUCCCUGGAGGUGUUCAAGGCCAGGUUGGAUGGGGCCCUGGGCAACCUGGUCUAGUAAAUGGGGAGGUUGGUGGCCCUGCCUGGCAGGGGGGCUGGAGAUUCAUGAUCCUUGAGAUCCCUUCCAACCCAGGCCAUUCUGUGAUUCUGUGAUACUAGCUAUAAGCUAUUAGGAAUAGUGAGGGUAGCAACCACUUCCUUACAAUGUUGCAUGGGUUGUACACAUGAUGUCUACCAACAUUGCUUUAAAAAAGAAGUCAUUCAGAUUUGUAGUCAAGAUGACACUUGUAACAGCUCGGAGGACCCCUAGCUAUAAGGCAUCUCCUGCAGCUGCUUGAGAAAAGUGAUAAGACAGAAGCAAUGUCAGGUAUGUGUAACAAGGUAUACAUGCUGGAAAAAAAAAAGCGAAAUAAAAAAAGGAAUCCAAGUUGAAGAAGCACAAGGUACCAUUUUGUGUGUUACAAGAUGUAAAUCCAGCUCUUGUAUUAUUGACGCCUUCCCAGGUUUUAGUCGAGCCGCCUGAAAUAUGUGACUACUGGGCAUAUAAGGGAAAGCAGCAUAAAGUAAUACAACCUGACAAUAGGUUAAUCAGGGGAGAAAAUAAUCCCUUUGUGUAGCUUUCUGUAUUCAUUAGUUGUUUUUUUUUUCUGCCUCUUUUUUUCUUAGCUGCUUUUUACUUCAUUUACUCCAACACAGAGUCAGAACAAACUGUCAGACUUAAAUUACUAAAUUACAUUUGUGAAAUUUGGAAUAAAGAGAGUGAGCUGUACUUCAUUUUGCUAUUUUAGCAGUAGUUCCAUCAUUGUCCAGAAGUUCAUAAUAAAAUGAUCUGCAAUUUGCAUGUUCCCUGUUCUGCCUUCCCUCAAGGUCUGACGAGAGUGGUGCUCAAUAAUUUGAGUUAUAUUUUGACAGUGGGUGAUGGUCAAGAAUAAAACCCUUUUCCUUCCAGAAGGCUCCCUCCCCACCCAGAAAAAAGCAUUUUCUAUUUGUAAGAAAAAAUAAAUACAUGUAGAAGUAAUUACUGAAACUAGAACAUUUCUCAAAAGCAAUUUCAAUUUCUUCAGCAUACUGUCAAAGAUAGGUUGUAGGGGUUUUUUAAAAUCUUAGAAAUAUCUUACUUAGUUUUUGAGUGGUAGAUAGUCUUUAAUAGGCUGUCAUGCAGUAAGCAUUUGCUGGAAGUGAGUUAACACAGGAAAUGUUAUUAUCAUACAGGUAUUGCUUCUGUAUUAGAAAGUGUUUAAAGACUAAUAAUUAUUAAAUGCUUUAGUUAUAGACUUUAUUUAGCAAUGUCCUGCCUUACUGCUUGAAUCAUAUAGUCAUUUUUGUGUACUGCCCACUCCUUCCCUUAGUCAGCUUGCUUUUAACAUCUGCUUUGCCUUAAAGGCUCAGUGCUUGAAUUCAUCUGGAAUUCAAGUAGUAAUCUGUAGUCCCAAGAAACGUGUAGUUAAGCGGUAGUUUCCAUCGCUGUGCAGUAUGUCAGCAGAAAUCAUAACAUUUCCCUUGAGCACUGGAGAUUGUUCCACAUUUUAAAAGGAUAAACAUGACAACAGCUCCAUCUAAACGUGGAAAACCAUCAAUUUUUAUACACAACCAUAACUAUACUUUGAGCUGUUUCAUUCAGUUUGGAGACAGUUUUGCUGGGUAGCCUAUAGAUUCUCUAAGAAGGGCUGAUUCUCUGAGCACUGGUUUGAAGAGACCUGCCUGCUGAAGUUGUACCAGCAGAAGCAGCAGCUGUUAAACCAUCCACCUCUGUGCCAUGUUUUUCAUGCUAUCUAAUGUUAUAGUAAUUGUCAAUAUCUGCAAUUAGCUGGAGAAAUAAAUAAUAUGGAAAAAGUACAUUUGUCUGGACGGUGUUUCUUUACAGUGCUUUUGUUAGUUGAUUUCCCCCGCCCUGCUACAGGAAAUUUUGGCUGUGUCUACUGAUGUAUAUUCCAAAUGUGUGUGUGCUUCCACUCAUGUUAAUAGCUUCAGAAGGUAAGUAGGGUAAGUGUCCGCUCGUCCACUAAG